GCCGUAAACGAUGAGUGCUAGGUGUUAGGGGUUUCGAUGCCCUUAGUGCCGAAGUUAACACAUUAAGCACUCCGCCUGGGGAGUACGACCGCAAGGUUGAAACUCAAAGGAAUUGACGGGGGCCCGCACAAGCAGUGGAGCAUGUGGUUUAAUUCGAAGCAACGCGAAGAACCUUACCAGGUCUUGACAUCCUUUGACCACUCUAGAGAUAGAGCUUUCCCCUUCGGGGGACAAAGUGACAGGUGGUGCAUGGUUGUCGUCAGCUCGUGUCGUGAGAUGUUGGGUUAAGUCCCGCAACGAGCGCAACCCUUGAUCUUAGUUGCCAGCAUUCAGUUGGGCACUCUAAGGUGACUG
This 354-nucleotide ribosomal RNA is filed under the name Bacillus sp. LS-8C. Its description in RNAcentral is "bacterial SSU rRNA". It matches the Rfam family "Bacterial small subunit ribosomal RNA", at positions 799 to 1151 of the family's 1533-position model. RNAcentral also lists the same sequence under 3 other names. Lineage: Bacteria; Bacillati; Bacillota; Bacilli; Caryophanales; Bacillaceae. The record is from RNAcentral.